UACGGAAGGCAGCAGUGGGGAAUAUUGCACAAUGGGCGCAAGCCUGAUGCAGCCAUGCCGCGUGUAUGAAAAAGGCCUUCGGGUUGUAAAGUACUUUCAGUCGUGAGGAAGGUGUUAAGGUUAAUAACCUUAGCAAUUGACGUUAGCGACAGAAGAAGCACCGGCUAACUCCGUGCCAGCAGCCGCGGUAAUACGGAGGGUGCGAGCGUUAAUCGGAAUUACUGGGCGUAAAGGGCACGCAGGCGGUUAAUUAAGUUGGAUGUGAAAUCCCCGGGCUUAACCUGGGAAUGGCAUUCAAGACUGGUUAGCUAGAGUCUUGUAGAGGGGGUAGAAUUCCAUGUGUAGCGGUGAAAUGCGUAGAGAUGUGGAGGAAUACCGGUGGCGAAGGCGGCCCCUGGACAAAGACUGACGCUCAUGUGCGAAAGCGUGGGGAGCAAACAGGGAUUAUACCCGU
Molecule: ribosomal RNA, 454 nt
Filed under: uncultured bacterium
Lineage: Bacteria
Description: bacterial SSU rRNA
Rfam family: Bacterial small subunit ribosomal RNA
Source: RNAcentral